UUGAAAAUUGACUGACCACCAGUUUGAGCCU
Molecule: non-coding RNA, 31 nt
Filed under: Rattus norvegicus (Norway rat)
Lineage: Eukaryota; Metazoa; Chordata; Mammalia; Rodentia; Muridae
Source: RNAcentral